CACCAGGUUGAUCCUGCCUGACGUGGAUGCUAGUCUCAUAGGUUAAGCCAUGCAUGUGUAAGCGAAGCAUUUUUGUGGAGCGGCGUAAGGCUCAGUAACGGGCGUCUAUUUGAUCUCCUGAUGCGGACAACCUCUGUAACCGGAGGCUAAUACGCGUGAGGCACGGUUUCCGUCGGGUGUCGUGUCGAUAGCUAUUUGUUGUAAUAGCGCGGGAGAGUAAGGAGCCAUCCCAUCAGUUAGUAAGUAGGGUAAGGGCCUACUUAGAUGAAGACGGGUACGGGGAAUUAGGGUUCUAUUCCGGAGAGGGAGCCUGAGAGACGGCUACCAGGUCCAAGGACAGCAGCAGGCGCGAAAAUUACCGAAGCCUCCGGUGAGGGCGGUAGUAAGGAGACGUGAAUACGAUGCACAGGUAAAUAGUGUGCUAGUAACAGGAGGUCAAGACUGGUGCCAGCAUCCGCGGUAAUACCAGCUCCUGGAGUGUCUAUGAUGAUUGCUGCAGUUAAAGUGUUCGUAGUCGGGCUGCAUGACUGGCGUGAAAGACCUUCUUUCAAGGGGGGUACAGCGCGGGGAAAGCAGAGGAUAAGGAGCGUUUUGGGGCCAGGUUAUUAAGCGACGAGAGGUGAAAUUUGAUGACUCGCUUAGGAGCAACAGAGGCGAAAGCGCUGGCCAGGGGCGAAUCCGAUGAUAAAGGACGUAGGCUAGAGGAUCGAAGACGAUUAGAGACCGUUGUAGUUCUAGCAGUAAACGAUGCCGAUGCCGUGGUGCGAUUUGAGUUCGCGACGCGGAAGAGAAAUUCAGUAGGGCCCUGGGGAGAGUACACGCGCAAGCGAGAAAUUUAAAGGAAAUUGACGGAAGAACACCACAAGGAGUGGAGUGUGCGGCUUAAUUCAACUCAACGUGGGACAGCUUACCAGGCCCGACGACCGCACGAGUGUUGUACACGAUAGGUUGGAGAGUGGUGCAUGGCCGUUAACGACAAGUGGGGUGACCUUUGGGUUAAGUCCGGGAAGUAGUGAGACCCCUGCUGUUACGGCAAGCCGUGACAGGACAGGUGCUUAAAGCACAGGAAGGAAGGGUCAAGAACAGGUCAGUGAUGCCCUCAGAUGGUCUGGGCUGCACGCGCACUACAGUGGUCACAGAAAGGAUUAUUGAGAGAUAAUGGUGAUCGAGAGGGAAUGAGCUUUGCAAGAGGCUCAGGAACGAGGAAUUGCUAGUAAUCGCGGGCUCAUUAAGACGCGAUGAAUACGUCCCUGUUCUUUGUACACACCGCCCGUCGUUAUCGAAGAUGGAGUCAGGCGCGAACAAGCGAGAGCGAGUAAGUGCAGGAUUCUAGAUGUGAUACAAGUCGUAACAAGGUAACC
This 1361-nucleotide ribosomal RNA is filed under the name Pleistophora hyphessobryconis. RNAcentral's name for it is "bacterial SSU rRNA". It matches the Rfam family "Microsporidia small subunit ribosomal RNA". The record is from RNAcentral. Lineage: Eukaryota; Fungi; Microsporidia; Pleistophoridae.